Schistosoma mansoni is the source of this 46-nucleotide non-coding RNA. NCBI's taxonomy places the organism in Eukaryota, Metazoa, Platyhelminthes, Trematoda, Strigeidida, Schistosomatidae. The record is from Rfam.
GCACUGCUGAAGAGUCCCAUAAUAGGACGAAACGGGCGUCCAGUGA